Long non-coding RNA from Acanthochromis polyacanthus (spiny chromis), 2159 nucleotides. RefSeq lists it as uncharacterized. The transcript has 2 exons. The record is from RefSeq and is a predicted model, not a curated record. NCBI's taxonomy places the organism in Eukaryota, Metazoa, Chordata, Actinopteri, Pomacentridae.
UCACCCCGCAAACAAACACCUGGCCUUCCUGCAAGGACGAGAAGAUGGAGGUGAGGAGGAAACAGAGAAGAUGAGAACGGAGAACCAUGUUAAAAUGUCUGUAGCUCCUAUUAAAACAAAACUGGAUAAAGAAGGAAGUAUCUGAGGAGGAACGGACAGGAUUAUGGAGAUAUCAAUGGAAAUGCACCAGCUGGUUGGAAAGAAACACCCUGUCAAAAAUCAGAUUACGAUAAAAGCUUUCCGAUUUGCUGGAGAAACUGUGGAAAUCAAAACCACUGCCAUAUUUUCAGGUAUUGUUCUGUUACUGAAGAUUUCUGGAGAGGGUCCUCAGGUCCCUACAGCCAGAAAGAAAGACUAUUUUAUGGCUGUAGACCUCAAGACUGGUUAAAAACGGAUAAAUAUUAAUUGAACGCAUUUCUAAAAAGGCAAUAAAAAUGGAGUUUGCUUCCAACUGGUAAAAAUAGGUCAACUCUAACAACUCCUAGCCCUGAUCUUAAUUUUGAUGGAGCGAUGGUAAAAGGUCCCCCCUUGUAUUAUAUUUACAUAGCUGUUGUCUUCUGCAUUGUUCUUAAAUCUAAAUAAAAUGUCUGUAGCUCCUGAACCACACAGAUAAUACGGAUAACUGCGGUUCACCAGAAAGGAAACAUCUUAAUACUUGUUGGUACGGAGUCAGAAACAAAGCUGCAGGCUCUAUAAAACUGCCAAAAUGUAAAAUUAGUGUAAAGAAACUUGUGUCAGUGUCUUUGUUUGAACAUGCACAAACAAAGUGCAAAGAAAAUACAGACGAAUAACUGAGUCGGAUUUGGCAGAAAUAUGACAAUUUUCUGUGUUUUUUUCAGUCCAGGCGCCUCCAGAAUGGGACACCGGGGAUAUUCUCAACUUCUAGUCUUUUAUCAGUGGCUAACUCUCCCUGUCUCCAGGGCCUUGGCAUGACAAGAAGCAAACACGAAAGCUCUCAGAUGUCCUGUUUUAACAGCUUUCUAUCCAGAAAUGGUGGCGUGUUUGACGGUCAUAAAUUUUACCUCUUCACUUUCCCACCCUUGCCGGGCCUGGCUGCUCACCUCCAGGACAUAGUAGCGGUACAGGUAGGCUCCUCCAACCACCACUCCAGACAGCAUGAGGGCGAGACCCAGACACAUGCACCAGCACCAGGCCCGGGACUGGUGGCGCACCAGCAGAGCCGCCUCGGCAUCCUGAAGGAGAACGAAGACGACAGCAGCUGAUUAGACAGUUCGAUUGUUUCCAUAUUUAUACAUUCAGAGAGACGACCCUUCAAGCAGACGAUUUCAAUGAAACCCUCCGAGGACCGGCAAGCUUCUGAUUAAUCACAGACUGGUAAUUUAUCUACUUCCUCCUGUCAGUUUCCAGGAUUUCAGCGCUUCAAAAGCCAGUUUCAUAAACCAAACAAAUACAAUAUGGAGCCAACACAUCGGCACAAUUUUAAUCAACGAGGAAGAAAAACGUUGAUUAAAGCGAUGAUUGCAACAAGAUAAAGGUAAUCAGGGAUGUGUAUUAAAAAAUAGUGCAAUCACAAUGCUGUAAUAUAUAAAUAGUCCAUUUUAAGUAAAAGCUGGGCAGUGGAAAUGUCAGUAAAAUGUACUCCUUUAUUUAGAAAUUGCCCCAGUGAGCAGUGAACUACAUUAUUGGAUUAUUACUGCUUAUAGAUAAAUGGAGAGACCGACUGUUUUAACUAUUUUAUACACCACUAGGCCACGUAAUAAACAAAAAUGCAUCAUAUUUCACCACGUCUUCAUAUUUUUGUUAUAUAAAAUCUUAAUCUAUCCACAAAACAUUAACUAAAGAUGUUAAAUAAAGGUGUCAGAGGUACAAUAUUUCACUCUGAAGUGCUGUGAAAAACAAGGAUAAAGUCAGCCAAAUUGAAAGUACUCAAGCAUGUCAGCAAAAUGUCCUUCUAUUUUCCCAGAAAGUGGCCCCUUUGAGCAUUGUACUAGAUUAUUGGGUUAUUACUGGGUAUUUUUAUGUGGAGACAGACUUUUACUGCUCAAGUUGCAACUAUUUCAACUUGUUAAUGACCACUAGGCAGCGCAAUAAAUAAAACUGUGUCAUAUUUUAUCACAUCUUCAUGUCUUUGGUAUGUAAAAUCUUGAUAUAUCAAGAAAAUAUUAAUCAAAAAUGUUAAAUAAAGCUGUAAGAUACAA